RNAcentral lists this ribosomal RNA (492 nucleotides) under uncultured bacterium. Its description in RNAcentral is "partial 16S ribosomal RNA". It matches the Rfam family "Bacterial small subunit ribosomal RNA", at positions 29 to 507 of the family's 1533-position model. The record is from RNAcentral.
AGUGAACGCUGGCGGUAGGCCUAACACAUGCAAGUCGAACGGCAGCACAGUAAGAGCUUGCUCUUACGGGUGGCGAGUGGCGGACGGGUGAGGAAUACAUCGGAAUCUACUUUUUCGUGGGGGAUAACGUGGGGAAACUUACGCUAAUACCGCAUACGACCUACGGGUGAAAGCAGGGGAUCUUCGGACCUUGCGCGAUUGAAUGAGCCGAUGUCGGAUUAGCUAGUUGGCGGGGUAAAGGCCCACCAAGGCGACGAUCCGUAGCUGGUCUGAGAGGAUGAUCAGCCACACUGGAACUGAGACACGGUCCAGACUCCUACGGGAGGCAGCAGUAGGGAAUAUUGGACAAUGGGCGCAAGCCUGAUCCAGCCAUACCGCGUGGGUGAAGAAGGCCUUCGGGUUGUAAAGCCCUUUUGUUGGGAAAGAAAAGCAGCAGGUUAAUACCCCGCUGUUCUGACGGUACCCAAAGAAUAAGCACCGGCUAACUUCGUG